AGGACGAACGCUGGCGGCGUGCUUAACACAUGCAAGUCGAACGAGGUCCAUCCGGUAGCAAUACCGGAGAAGACUUAGUGGCGAACGGGUGAGUAACACGUGAGGAACCUGCCCCGAAGACCGGGAUAACAGCGGGAAACCGCUGCUAAUACCGGAUACCCCCAUCGGAUCACAUGGCCUGAUGAGGAAAUGGAUUCCGCUUCGGGAGGGCCUCGCGGCCUAUCAGCUUGUUGGUGAGGUGACGGCUCACCAAGGCGACGACGGGUAGCUGGUCUGAGAGGACGAUCAGCCACACUGGGACUGAGACACGGCCCAGACUCCUACGGGAGGCAGCAGUGGGGAAUCUUGCGCAAUGGGCGAAAGCCUGACGCAGCAACGCCGCGUGAGGGAUGAAGGCCUUCGGGUUGUAAACCUCUUUCAAGCAGGGACGAUAAUGACGGUACCUGCAGAAGAAGCUCCGGCCAACUACGCGCCAGCAGCCGCGGUAA
Molecule: ribosomal RNA, 488 nt
Filed under: uncultured bacterium
Lineage: Bacteria
Description: SSU rRNA
Rfam family: Bacterial small subunit ribosomal RNA
Source: RNAcentral